GGCCCCAUGGUCUAGUGGUAAGGACGCCGCCCUCUCACGGCGGUAGCGGGGGUUCGACUCCCCCUGGGGCUACCA
RNAcentral lists this transfer RNA (75 nucleotides) under Clostridia bacterium. RNAcentral's name for it is "tRNA-Glu". It matches the Rfam family "tRNA". Rfam says of the family: Transfer RNA (tRNA) molecules are approximately 80 nucleotides in length. Their secondary structure includes four short double-helical elements and three loops (D, anti-codon, and T loops). Lineage: Bacteria; Bacillati; Bacillota; Clostridia. The record is from RNAcentral.